This 401-nucleotide ribosomal RNA is filed under the name uncultured bacterium. RNAcentral describes it as "bacterial SSU rRNA". It matches the Rfam family "Bacterial small subunit ribosomal RNA", at positions 29 to 416 of the family's 1533-position model. The record is from RNAcentral.
AACGAACGCUGGCGGCGUGCCUAACACAUGCAAGUCGAGCGAGAAAGGGGAGCAAUCCCCGAGUAAAGCGGCAGACGGGUGAGUAACACGUGGGUAAUCUGCCCUCGGGCGGGGAAUAACAUCUCGAAAGAGGUGCUAAUACCGCAUAACAUCCAUGGACCUGUGGGUUCGUGGAUCAAAGGUGGGGAUCUUCGGACCUACCACUCGAGGAGGAGCCCGCGCCUGAUUAGCUAGUGGUGGGGUAAUGGCCUACCAAGGCGACGAUCAGUAGCCGGCCUGAGAGGGUGAACGGCCACACUGGAACUGAGAUACGGGCCAGACUCCUACGGGAGGCAGCAGUAGGGAAUAUUGGUCAAUGGGUGAGAGCCUGAACCAGCCAUGCCGCGUGCAGGAAGAAGGCC